GGGGAGGGGAAAAGGGAGCGAGGUGUCUCCCCAGCUCGCAGCCUCUGGCAAGUGGAGUUUUUAAAAAGCUCGAGCAGAUCAUGUCAUGACGACUUCGCUGCUCCUGCAUCCUCGCUGGCCGGAGAGCCUUAUGUACGUCUAUGAGGACAGCGCGGCGGAGAGCGGCAGCGGCGGCGGCGGCGGCGGCGGCGGCGGCGGCGGCGGCGCGGGCGGCGCGGGGGGUGGCUGCAGCGGAGCGAGCCCCGGCAAAGCCCCGAGCAUGGACGGGCUGGGCAGCAGCUGCCCGGCCAGCCACUGCCGCGACCUGCUUCCGCACCCGGUGCUGGGCCGCCCGCCGGCUCCCCUGGGCGCCCCUCAGGGCGCCGUCUACACGGACAUCCCGGCCCCGGAGGCGGCGCGCCAAUGCGCCCCGCCGCCGGCGCCCCCCACCUCGUCCAGCGCCACUCUGGGCUACGGCUACCCUUUCGGUGGCAGCUACUACGGCUGCCGCCUGUCGCACAACGUGAACCUGCAGCAAAAGCCUUGCGCCUACCACCCGGGCGAUAAGUACUCCGAGCCGUCGGGCGCCCUGCCGGGUGACGACCUGUCCUCCAGGGCCAAGGAGUUCGCCUUCUAUCCCAGCUUCGCCAGCUCCUACCAGGCGAUGCCCGGCUACCUGGACGUGUCUGUGGUGCCUGGGAUCAGCGGGCACCCGGAGCCGCGUCACGACGCGCUCAUCCCCGUCGAAGGCUACCAGCACUGGGCUCUCUCCAACGGCUGGGACAGUCAGGUGUACUGCUCCAAGGAGCAGUCUCAGUCCUCCCACCUCUGGAAGUCUCCCUUUCCAGGUAAGGAAGGGGCCCGAGCGCCGCCGCCGCCGCCGCCAGGGACCCGUCCCAGCCCCGCCUGCCCCGGGGCUCCGCGCCCCAGCCACCCCCGCCGUCUGGCCCCGGCGCGCCGGCUCUCCUGGGCUGCCGAUGGAGCCGGCCGGGCGAGCUGCGCUGAGGAAUGCGCCGGGGAAGAAAUCUGCUCCGACACGUUCCCCGGAGCUGCCGGGCGGAGAGUGAAGCAAUCACAGGCGCCCGAGCGCCCGGCCGCCGGCUCCGCUCCAGUCGGGAGCUUGUCUCCUCCUCCCCCAGCGGGCUCCAGUCUCACGCGCGGCUCUUGGCCUCCUAAGCCCGCUUCCGGCCAGGAAUGGGGGGGGGGGGGGGGCCUUGGGUGCCUUGGAAUCCAAAACCACUAGGACAAAACGCUCAACCCACCGAUUAAUUGGGGAAAAAAAUUAGAACCCCCAAACAUUUUGUUUGCCUGAAUGUCCAAGAUCAUUCAGGCACUGCAGGCACUGGACAGUUUUUGUUGUUUUUAAAUAGGGGUCUAAUUUGCCGGGAUCUACAGAAAUGUAGGGUGUUUUCUUUUUUCUUUUCUUGAUUUAUUUUAAGAAUUUGGCCACGAAUUUCCUGAUUGUUAAAGGAACAAGAGAGCUAAAAUCUCUAGAGAGGGUGUGGAGAAAAGGGAAUUCACAUCCCUCUCCUGGAUUAUAAAAUUCUUUGCCUCUCUGGUGCACUGAGCUCAAAUCCUGUGGGUGUUCGCACUACCAACUCCCCCAAAUGCGGGAGAGAAGGAGAGUUCCCCAUGCCUUAGACACAGGGGAGUGUCUCUUUCUCUUAGAGGGGAGUGAGGAUGAGGGUGGGGGGGAGACCUGCUUUGGAAGGAUCUGAGGUCCAGGCCCAGGCAGGGGACCCCUCUGCAUUGUCUGGCUCCAUAUGCGGUGGGGGAUUGGAAUUUACUGGUGUUCUGUUCCCUUUCCAAUUGAGGCUAUCUCUGAACAGGAAGGGAUCCUGCAAACCACCACCCCCCCACACUCCACAGGGGAAAAGACCAGUUCCAGGUUUCUCAAAACCACAUCAGGAGCUUCGUAUUCAGCUUUGUGCUGAGAAAUCAGGAUUCAGGGUCUAGUGAAUCCAGAGCUUGAGUCUGCUCUUGCUAUAUAUGAGCAGAGCUCAGUGGGAGAGGGCUGACUGGCUCCGUUCUGAUGCCUACAGGGGUCCUGGGGGCCCCGACCAGCCAUAUAUGGCUCCCCACACUGCCCAGAGCCCCCCCCCUCCCCAACUCUACAUGUGGACCCAGGGACAUUUUCAUUGGGAAGUGUAGACCUGAAGACCUCCUAAGGGUGGGCCUGAAAUUCCUCUGCAUCCAGGAUUGGGGCAAGGACAGAUGGUUAAAAAAAAUUACUGAAUGAUAUUAAAAAGUGUAGCAAAUAACAUUCUUGUAAAUAUUAUAAGAUGACUUAGUAUAACACAACUGACCAAGGUGGGACCCACACUAGACACCCAAUUUCUGGCUGCCAGAAGAUUUAGGUUGAUAGAAUUUUAGUACAUGGUGUCAUGCGUUACCUACUCUGCAUUGACUAUAUUUUUAUAUAAUAUGAUUUCUGUUAUUAACCACCUAAUACGAAACACAUAAUAACACUUUUCUAGAAGAUAGGCAACUCACAUGUAGGUGUACAAUAGUGUGUUGUGGAGAUAUGGCCCUUUAAUUUCCCAUCCCACCCAGAUGGGAAGCUGCUUAGGAGAUGGGGGUUUAGCAGGAAUUCCUGGAGCAUCAGUAGCUGGUAGCCAACAGGCCAUGCUAAGGGGCUGAAGGGCAGAGGGGCAGAUGCCCACCCAGCCCACUGUGGGCAGAGGCACAAGUCUAGAGCAGUGGACGGUGGGUUUAGUGUGAAGAGGGGAUGAGAGGGAGCUGCUCUGGCAUUGCUGUGUAUGCAUGUGGAGCAAGGUGGGAGUGAGAGAUUGGAGAGAAGCUCAAAGAAAUAUCUUUGAGCAAAAUAAACAUCUUAAAGAUUCCCAGGAAAAAAAAAAACUAAAAGUAAGCACUUUUUUAUCACAGCCUCCUAGAGAAAAAUAUCUUUGACAUAAAAAAAUAUAUAGCCCAACUGAGAUUUAAUACACUUGCAAAUUAUGGCAUGGAAGUGGAUAUAAAAACCCAGUGUAUCUCAACAGCUAUGUGCUCACACACUCCCGGUGUGGAAAUAGAAUCGGGCUGGUGUAUCUCAGUGAGUGCAGAGGUCCAGGCAAAAGGCAGAUGAAUAAGAAAUUAUGCUCAGACACCCUCCAUCUUUCUACCCACACAGAGCUCCUUUAAAGUAGUGAGAUUUCCAGAUAACUCUGUCUAUGCAAUUGUGGUUUGUUCAGCAGCAUCUAGGCAUAAACACUACUGUCUCUUUUCAGUGCCUCUGGCUCUGAGAGACCUCAUCUAUGGCAGUCUGGGCUGGUGUGGGAGAUGAAGGCAAUUGUUCAGAAAGAUCCAGAUAAUUAGGGCCCAGCUGAGUUGUGGCUUCUUCCUUCACCCAAUUAUCUAGACCCUUGCUUCUUUGCUCUUUUUUUUUUCUUCCUAUAGUGAGUAUAGACAGUUUUUAAUUUUGACAGAGAGAGGCAGAAAUUCCAAGAGAGAAUCAGCAGAAAUUCCAAGAGAGAAGCAGAGAGGAGGGGGGCGGGGUGGGGGAGACAGGGAGAGACAGAGACAGAUAGGAUAGGAGGAGACAGUAAGAGAGAGAAGGAGAUAAUGGGCUCUUUGGGCCAUACUGGAAGUCUCUACUGACAAGUCUUUGGAAUUUGCUUGAGAAGAGUGGCUAGGAUUUCUAGCUGAACAAGGUCCUCUUCGGAGGACCAGAGCCCUGUUUGGGGAGUGGGUGGGUCAAGAGCCAGUGGGCAGUAGGAACAUGUACACAGGACCCCAAGAGAGAGCUGUGGCUGAGCAUUGAUCUGAUUUUUAUCUGCUCCUCAAAAGUGUCUAUUAGGUUCCCAGGUAUGAAGUGGUGUGUGUGUGUGUGUGUGUGUGUGUGUGUGUGUGUGUGUGUGCACGCCCACACGCUCUGAAGGGAGAUUAGGGAAAGGUUGAUUGUAAAAUUAAUCACCAAGUCCUCUACUUACUUUAGGCAGCAUAGACACAACUCGAGGCCUAAGCUUCCAGAUGUUUCCACAUCUGCAGAUCCCACUUCCUUUCCAGACAAGACAGCAGACAAUGAAAGGGGGCUUCUUUCAGAAGGCAAGACUGAAGGUAUUUCCCCAGUUGGCCAAAACAACCAGCCGUUAGGUCUGAUCCAUGAAAAACUUGGCCACAUCAACUCUUGGCAUUCUGUAGAGAAAAAUAACCAAUUUAGACCAGCUAUCUGCUUUUUUUAAACUGAUUUUUUAGGGUUUGUUGAUUAAGCCUCAUUGGAAAUUUAUAGUUGUGGUUUAGGAGACCCAAAAUCGGGUAGAUAAUUGUGAGCAUUUCCAGAAAGUGAAGUUUAAAAAAAUCAGGGACAAUUAUCUGGUUAAUUCAGGAACCCAAACCCACGUUUAUCCCAUUUGCUCUCCAGGAAAAAGGAGGUACUUUAAAGCUAAAUUGUACCAAGCGGUCUGUUUCCAUUUUAGAACUCACUGUGUCAUUAUGUUGAGUCCAAAAAUCUGGGUUUGAAAUCUGGCUCUGCCACUUAAGUUCCUUUACCUACUCUGAACCUCAGAUUCCUUAUCUUGUAAAAUGGGUUUAAUAAAAUAAGACUGGAAAAAAUGUUCCGAGGAUUAAAAAAAAAGCCUCACGGUAUCAUUACUGACCCUCUCUGUUUUACUCCUAUUCCAGAAUCAUCAGUUUCUCAAAUCAUAGUUACAUCUGUAAGAGUAAGACACAUUUAAGAACUGUGAGACUUUUAAAAAUUAUCUUGUGCAAAAAAAAAAAAUCCUUUUUAACAUAAAGGAUCUGCUCUGCUAAAGUGAAGUUGUUUUGUUUUGCAGAUUAAAAAAAAAAAAAACUUGGCCUGUUCCUACAUAGGCAGAGAAAAGUGACAAGUCCAACAAUUUUCCCGAAAAAUUGUCGUCAUGAAGACAGCCAGACCAGGCCAUUGGAACCCCCUCUCUCCCAUAUUCUUUCUGCGUACUUUAUUCGCCCCCUGCAUUUGAUGGUGACCUCUUCUCUCCCCAUCCUGUGUAGACAAGGGUCCCUGAGAGAGAGCAGACCCAAUGAGAAUGGGUAUAAGGAAGGUGUUUCAUGAGGGUGGGGGGGGGGGGGCAGUGAGAACAAGCAUUUCAGAAAGAGCUUUGUGUCCUUAUUCUAGACUGUGUCUACACUUCCAAAGGGCAGUAAGAAUGAAGGGGAAAUCUCAAAUAUUCAGUCCUACUCAUUAAAUCCUGCAUGAAGAACUCUGCCAAUUACGUUUUUAAAAAUUGAAGGACGUGGUCCCCCUACAGCCCGAGGUCAACAGCUACCGCCGCGGGCGCAAGAAACGCGUGCCCUACACCAAGGGGCAGCUGAAGGAGCUAGAGAAGGAGUAUGCGGCCAGC
This is an RNA transcript of Aethalodelphis obliquidens (Pacific white-sided dolphin), 5297 nucleotides long. It is a transcript of the gene named homeobox C13, with no coding region annotated. NCBI's taxonomy places the organism in Eukaryota, Metazoa, Chordata, Mammalia, Artiodactyla, Delphinidae. The transcript has 2 exons. The record is from RefSeq and is a predicted model, not a curated record.